CGCGUAGGCGGCCUGGUAAGUCUGGAGUGAAAGUCCUUCUUUCAAGGAGGGAAUUGCUUUGGAUACUGCUGGGCUUGAGUGCAGGAGAGGUAAGUGGAAUUCCCAGUGUAGCGGUGAAAUGCGUAGAGAUUGGGAGGAACACCAGUGGCGAAGGCGACUUACUGGACUGUAACUGACGCUGAGGCGCGAAAGUGUGGGGAGCAAACA
RNAcentral lists this ribosomal RNA (207 nucleotides) under uncultured bacterium. RNAcentral's name for it is "partial 16S ribosomal RNA". It matches the Rfam family "Bacterial small subunit ribosomal RNA", at positions 568 to 774 of the family's 1533-position model. The record is from RNAcentral.